UGGGGUGGCGAUAGCGGAGGGGUCACACCUCUUCCCAUUCCGAACAGAGAAGUUAAGCCCUCCAGCGCCGAUGGUACUGCUCGGGAAACCGAGUGGGAGAGUAGGACGCCGCCCCUU
Molecule: ribosomal RNA, 117 nt
Filed under: Candidatus Rokuibacteriota bacterium
Lineage: Bacteria; Candidatus Rokuibacteriota
Source: RNAcentral